Molecule: long non-coding RNA, 675 nt
Filed under: Lepisosteus oculatus (spotted gar)
Lineage: Eukaryota; Metazoa; Chordata; Actinopteri; Semionotiformes; Lepisosteidae
Description: lncRNA (ENSLOCG00000021681.1)
Source: RNAcentral
GGGAGAACCGGAAGGGUGGUGAACGAGGAGCACCAGACCCACAGAGGGACGGUGGGAUAGGCGGCCGCUCGGAUAAAUCGCCACAGCAGCUGGAGAAUCCGCCGGGUCUGUCUGGACCUGUGCAGUGGAGGUGUAACCGGGAGCUCUGCCCUCAGCCUGUGGUAAUAACAUCAGGUGACUCUGCUGGCAUCUGGACUGACAGCAUAGUCCAGCUUCUUACCACAUCACCAGCGUUCCCAGAAGACUUCAGGGACAUAAACACGCGCCCGCGAGCUGGGUGAUGAUGUAAGUUUUAGAUGGACACUUGUUUUUUUCUGUGCAGUUAGCUCCUUCCAGCUGGUAAUAAGAAUUUUUUUUUGUGUGGCCGCUCGCUCAGGUCUGGUGCCGGUGGGUUGUGGGUCUGUCCUGUCCUGUCCUGUUGCCUCCCCCUCCCUUCCAAAUUUUCCUUUCAUGUUUGUUAUCUGAUCCUUUAUUUUUUUUCCUUUUCGUGCUCUAUCUGACACUUAGUGAAGUAUCUCUCCAGGCCUGUUCAGUAUACGGUAUCUGGAGCUCCUUCACAGGAAAGCUCUGUCGAUCGUCUUAGUUUUGCAGCAAGGAACCCUUGAGGCCACAAGGUGCACCUGCAGGGUCAGAAGACAGGGGGCGCUGCUUGGCAGCAGGGAUGGGCAGUGCAGG